UUGCAUUUGAAGCCCAUGAGGAUGAGAACCUCCGGGGGCGGGGAGGUUCGACUCGAGCGAAGCGAGAGAACGUUGCGCCAGCAACGGCCCGCAGGG
RNAcentral lists this small RNA (96 nucleotides) under Escherichia coli. Its description in RNAcentral is "partial RtT sRNA". It matches the Rfam family "RtT RNA", at positions 1 to 91 of the family's 130-position model. Rfam says of the family: This family represents a bacterial cis-regulatory element known as RtT RNA. RNAcentral also lists the same sequence under 1 other name. The record is from RNAcentral. Lineage: Bacteria; Pseudomonadati; Pseudomonadota; Gammaproteobacteria; Enterobacterales; Enterobacteriaceae.